UACAUAUGUAUUACGCGUUUGUAUUGAAGACGGUGUCCGAGCUAGAUGAGGACCCAUGCCCUUACCAGCUGGACCACGUUAGGACUGGAGCGCUGGGGACCAAAGGACGUAGCACAUCAGAGCGGUUAAAACACAGAGCGGAGCCAGACUGCCAAGGUCCAUUCCAUCUUACCAACUAGGAUCCUAACGGGGAAGGCCUGCCUCUGUGGCCCGCCUAUGGUCAGACCGAGGAAUGCGUGCAGCUGAAUUUGAACUUGAGCGCGGGACAGAGACAGAAAGAGCUAGAGCUGGAGUUCUGGACGGGCACCCUCCCCCUGAUCAGGACGCAGAAGGUGAUCAGCAUGCAAGAAACUAGCCGAGCUCAGUCCCAACCCUGUCCUGCCCACCCACCCACUAUGGAUCACCUCUCAAAUAAACCCCUUGCCUUUGGAUCCUCUUCUGGGAGUCUUUUUCUGAUGGAAACCAAAAUAGGUGAGUGCCUUCC
Molecule: long non-coding RNA, 484 nt
Organism: Phacochoerus africanus (Common warthog)
Lineage: Eukaryota; Metazoa; Chordata; Mammalia; Artiodactyla; Suidae
Exons: 4
Source: RefSeq, a predicted model, not a curated record